RNAcentral lists this ribosomal RNA (253 nucleotides) under uncultured bacterium. RNAcentral's name for it is "partial 16S ribosomal RNA". It matches the Rfam family "Bacterial small subunit ribosomal RNA", at positions 524 to 776 of the family's 1533-position model. The record is from RNAcentral.
UACGUAGGGGGCUAGCGUUGUCCGGAAUCAUUGGGCGUAAAGCGCGUGUAGGCGGUCCGGUAAGUCCGCUGUGAAAGUCGGGGGCUCAACCCUCGGAUGCCGGUGGAUACUGUCGGGCUUGAGUACGGAAGAGGCGAGUGGAAUUCCUGGUGUAGCGGUGAAAUGCGUAGAUAUCACUUGGAACGCCAACGGUGAAAACAGCUCGCUGGGGAUGUGCUGACGCUGAGACACGAAAGCCAGGGGAGCGAACGGG